Cavia porcellus (domestic guinea pig) is the source of this 8794-nucleotide long non-coding RNA. RefSeq lists it as uncharacterized. Lineage: Eukaryota; Metazoa; Chordata; Mammalia; Rodentia; Caviidae. The transcript has 6 exons. The record is from RefSeq and is a predicted model, not a curated record.
GUCCAGCCUGCAAGCGUUGCCAUGGCAGCGCCGCGGGCGGGGAUGCUGGAGGAUGAGCGCACAGCCCAGCUCGCCCCUUUGUGCCUCGGAGGCACCGGUGCACUCCCCCCAUUCCUGGCUUAACCUCGCCUAGAGGGUCCUGACUCUGGGGCGAGAGUAAGGGGGCAGAGUGUGGGGUUGCGGGGGUUCAGGGAGGCUGGAGGAGGGCAGAGGCAAGGGCUGGGGGUGGGGCUCCUCCGUCCGCCCGCCAGCCGCUCCCGCAUUAAAAUUUCAUGGGCGCUGCAGCAGCUACAAAGACGACGCCGGCUGCACUCGGGGGACCAGAGGGAGGGAGGCUGCGGACGAGUGCGGGGAGGAGUUUGCGAGGGGAGGCGCUUGCAAGGGCUCCCCCACUUCUGCGCUGUGAGCAGGGGCACAAAGAGCCCUCUGCACUCCAACCUUCGCACCGUGAACCCGAGGUAAGCCACCGCCUGUCCUAACACCCGGCUCUGCAAGCACCCUCGGCCCCGCGCGGGAGCAGCCUGUUUCUCCGAGGUUGGCUACCGACGCAGCAGGCAUCUGAAGUCCUUGGAGUCCGAAAGAGGAACCAGAGGGCUUUUCCGUCAGCUUCGGAAGAGUCAUUCUUUAUGCCUGCAUUAAAAACUGGAGGAUGUCCCGGUACCUCCAGGUACUUCCAGGCAAGGUCAUGUGGCUGAAGUGGCAUCUGAGCGGUACCCAAGGUGAUGCUCCAUCUCUUCUGCACAUGCCAGGGGUGUAGAGACCAGCUUCAUGCUAUGCAAUCAAGUCCACUGCGAAAUCCAACAUGCUGAGCCCUCUUGGAUGUCAGGGAGUUGCACCGAGUUCCUGGGACAGAGAAGAGAGGAGGAAUUUUCCAAGUUCUUCAAGGCAGUCCGGUCCAUGCAGGAAAGAAAGCAGCCUUGCAGAUAAGUAUUCAAAUGCACCUGCCUGUGGCCAUCAGCCUGCCCCUGGUCAGUCUGUUUCUCCCUUUGUAGUCAAGUGGGGACCUCAGCACUGUUGCCUGUGGGAUGCAUUCUUCUCAGGGUGAGGCUCCAAGUAUGUAUCGCUUUAGCUUUGGCCAGGUGCCGACAGCGAGCUCUGAUAGUAUGUUCAGAGGGUCCCUAACUGCCUGGCUUCCAUCUGCAGGCACAGCUGACUCAAAACAAACCUGAGUUAGGAUCCUUGGGCAUCCCCUGGCCUUCUCCACACUGGCAGCAUGGGCUGGCCUCAAAAGAGCCCCAUCCUACCUUCCUUUGGGGUCCCCCAGUCGGCUGUUGGGAAACAGGGAGGUUUCUGGGGCUCUAGGUCUCCCUGUCCCUGGCCUGGGGUGGGGCGUGGGUGUGGUUCUCUUUUGCGGCCUGGGUGGCUCUUCUGUCUUCCAGGAUGGCCUUGUGUGGGGUCUUUGUGCAGAGGGAGCUCGGAGCCAGGCCUGGGCUAUCAGCAUGGUGGCUGGAUGCUGAAGUAGACACUGGGAUCCAGCAGUGAACACCAGACAUUCGGUCCCCUUCUCUUGGAUCUUCAUGUUGGAACACACUUCCCCAUGGCCAGGCAAGGAGGACCCCUGGCUUGCUGUGCUCUGGGGAGCUGGGUGAAUGGAUUCUGGCUGCAGGAACCCAGAGCAGCCCUCGGUGGUCCCAUCCCCAAGGAUCCCGCUCUUCUCAGCGCGUGGGAGAGGUCUUCUGAGAAGAGCUGCUCCUGGCCGAUGGUCAGCUGAACACCGGAUCCUGGGCUGGCGCAUGCUCCAGGCGUGUGGAGGGGCCACAGCUCUCUACCCUGCUCCUCCUGCCUGGGCCCAAGCAUCUGAGGCUGGUGGCCGCUCCCUGACCCCAUGCAGACUGUAUUCCUCCUCUGGUUCCCUCUGUGGCCACACCUCUGCCCAGGCAAGCACUUCCCUGGACACACCCUCCCCAAGGCCUGCUCUCAACAAAGAUGAAGUUGGGGAGGCACUACCAGUUGGGGAGGUGGGCUUGGCUCCUUGGGGCAGCCCAUUGAAGUCUUCCAUCUUUUGUCAUUUUGGUAAGGGCUUCCUGGGUGAGGCUUUUCAUGUCUCUCUCCCUGAUGGCUCCAGAGGGAAGCAGUGGCGUCCUGGGAGAAGCUGGGGCCUUCCCCAGUGGUGUCCAGAUGUGGGAGGCAACUGGAGGGGCAGAGGGGUAAGGUCUUGAAAAGGUGUAGAGCUGAGGAUGCCAGGGGUGGGGGGUGGAAUGGGGGUGUUCACUAGAAACUAGACUGACAGCCCUGCUCUCACUCCUGCCAUUCAAAGAGAAUUCCUUCACCCCAAGGCAGGAAGAGCCAUCUGAGCCCAAACUCAGGAUAGGUGUCAAGCAGGCAGCCCCCUGGUCCUUGUGUGUGGUUCUGAAUUUUGUCUUUGGGAACAGAGGCCAGUGAGAUGGGCCCUUCCCAUAUGCAGUGUCCCCAUACACCUGCCCUUCCGUGUCCGCCUCUGAUGACAGUCUCUGCAGAGGGGAUAAUCCCACUGCUUGCAAAGCUUGUAGCUUUCCCAAGAUCAUUUUAAAAGCUGGAAGUCCUUUUUCUAGGGAGGGAAGAUGGUGGGUAUUCAUCAGCUUGGGCUGCUGUCACAGAAUACUGAGGAUGCACCGCAGGGCUUCAGUGCCCAAGACUUAUUUCUCAUGGUUCUGGAGACCAGAAAGUCCAGGACCCAGGUUCCAGGGUUGGCUCCUGGUGAGGCACCUUCCUCUGCGUCCUUACGUGGCCUUUUCUCAAUGGCGCUUUGGUGUCUGUCUUUAUAAGGACACCAGUCCUAGUAUAGCAAGGACCCAUGCUCGUGACCUCAUUUGAUUUUAAGUUGGUGCCAUGUCCUCUCCAGAACCCUCACCUGUAGAGGAAGGAGGAGCAAGUGAAUGGAAAAUAGAUCAGGGAAUGGCAGGCUUGGGGCCAGGGUGAGUCGGGUGCCUCCUGGGCAUAGGGACUGGCUGAACCCUGUGUGGAGAGCCUAGUCCUGAAGGAGCCCCUAGUUUGAAAUCAGAGCAGGUCUCAGGUGCGCCCUCUACUGUACAGCUGUGGGAACACCCCUCAACUCCCAUUGAAAUGGGUGCUGGUGACCUGGUGAGCAGGUGUGGGGCGCAUCUCCAGAGAUAAUGUGCCCAGUGCAGUAGUGACUGCUUAGCUGGUGCUCAGUAAUCACCCUGCCCAUCGGGGUGUUUAGAUUUAGGGCUGGUCUUUAGGCACUUUCUGAGUCAGAGGUGCUUCUGACUCCCCUCUCCCCUGGCUGCUGUCCUGACAGCCCUUUCUAAGGAGCUUGGGGAAGAAGUCAGUUCUGGCAUUAGAACUAGCACUAACUUGGGGCUCAGUCUUGUGCCACACUUGAGGGUAUUAGGUGGGAGAGGCUCUCUAGUGAAGCUGAACCAACAAGGGUCUCAGAGCGUGAGAAAGCUGUGGCUGUGCCCAGAGCUUCUGGGGAGAAACUGGAGCAGGAUUCUCCAAGUAAAGUCAGGGAGUGCAAGACUUAUCAGAGCCUCUGAAAUGCUCAUGGGGACUUCCGGUACUCAGGGACAGGACAGAGGGUGAUGUGUUUCUUGGCUUUGUUUUUCUAAUUUUACAGAAUCUCUCACAGAGCAUCAUUUAGAGCUGCAGGAGAUGCGAGGCUGGGUUUUCUGUAAGGAACAUUCAUGGUGAUAGGAGGCGGUGUAACGAGGGUGCCCCCAGGUGCUGUGUGGUGUUGGCUGGAAAGGACUCAGAUGAGGGAUGUGCGGUGGAGAGCUCGAACCUGGUUUCCAGGCCAGGCCAAUUCAAUGCAGUUUUGUGGGAAGGAGGAGGGGGCAGGUUAGCUGUGAUGGGUGUCAUGUCCACCAGGUAGUAGGGGCUCUGGGGAUCACAUCUGUGUGUGUGUGUGUGUGUGUGUGUGUGUGUGUGUGUGUGUGCAUGCCUGAGUGAAAGGACCCAGCCCUCAGGGAUGGGUCUGACUAGAACCAAGUGUGGGGUUUCUACUCAGGACAGGUAGCAUCUGUUUCCAGGGGAACUGAAGUGUUUGCAGGGGUGGGGUGCUCUAAGACCCACAGCCAAGAAACGGAAGUAAAAUGCAGGGUCCAAAUGGCCAGGCUCAAUUCUGGUUGGCCUGAGGGCCGCAGAGGUGGACCCCCCUUGCCCUGGUCAGGCCCCACACUUGGGGUGGGGCUGGGGUGGGUGAGCAGGAGGUGUCUGGAACCAUAGCUGGAGGGGCCGGGCAGUGUUGCAUGGUGUGAUUAACCUACUAACCCAGGGCUCGGCCAGGACGCUGUGGCGCGUGCCGUGCCGAGGUGCCUGGCCUUUUGCCAACCGACUAACCCACUAACCAGGCCCGAGCAUGCCCUACUAACCCUGCGCAGCCAGACCCUACUAACUGCAGCUCAUGGGCCUUGGAAGGGGCUGGGCCAUGGGGCAGCCGAGGCUCCGAGGGCCUGGCCUGGGCUGGGGUCUUUGUGCAGAUGCUCACUGCAGACAGGGCCUGCAUGUGACUUAGCAAUUCUGCCAGCUUCAGUGGAGGGACUCUGAGCAAGUCACCUCAUUCUUCUGCACCCCAGUUUCCUACAUAGGGAUGAGGAGUACUGACUCUUACCUCACCGAUGGCCUUAAAUAAGCGAAGGGAUCGGGGUGGGGGUGGGGGCCCCAAAACUCAGCUGGCAACAGCUGCUGCCCAGCCCUGGGCUACCCGGGUGCUCUGCACACAGACCUUCUGCCUGGAGCCAGACACUUGCUUUGAACCCCUAACUGUCUCCCCCACAUUCUUCCUUCUUGUCAGCUUUCUUUUCUAUAGGCAGCUCUUUGUUCGAUUACUAACUUGUCUAACCUGGGGGCGCCUCCCCUGCGCCCCACCCUCCCUUAACACACUAACGGACCUGCGUGUGUUCUUCCUUUUCUCCUAGUGACUCCUGUGUGUGUCUGCCGAGGCGCCCCUGUCGCUGGUGCUGUGCUGAUUUACUAACCCGGCCCUACUAACCUGGUUUCUCUUCUUACUAACCCCAGCCCUGCCGAGCUCUGGGUCUCCCUGGGGGCUGGUCCCCCUCCUUUUGGCAAACAGAUGUCCCCAGGCUGGUCCUGCAGACCAAUGUCCCAGAUUGGCUGCUUGUGAGAUCAGAGACCACUGGGUCAGGUCUAAGGCAGGGGCGGCCUUAUGAACGGCAUCCAGAGGAGGAGGAGGUGGCCCUGCAGAUGCGGGAGGCUGGACUCUGAGCAUGACCUCGCUCCUCUGUGCACAAGGCUGAUUGCCACUGGGAGUGGGCAGGGCCGGGGCAUCCUCCGGGGUGUGAGUGCCAAGGCCUGUGGGUCACAGAGUGCAGUUCUGGGGUUUCCCCAGCCAGAGAAAUGGAAAAAAGGGGCCUGGGCUUCCUUCCCUGGAAAGGGUUAGUGAGAGCAGCCAUCCUGGAAAGGAAGCUAAAGGAGUGUCCCCAAAGGGAACUUGGUCGAAGGACCUGGCCUUACACCAGAAGUCAGUCACGAAAUCAAAUAGGAAGUUAAUAAAGGGUCUUUCCUACACUGAAACGUCUUUGAGGGAGCUGUGUACACAGGAAAUCAGUGACAGAGGCAUUCUCUACACUUGAAACUGAGGAAAGGGGCCUGUUGACUGACAGUCAGUGAAAGAGGCUUUUCCUUAUCACUAGGUCCUGAGAAGGCAUGGCAGGUAAUCAGGGAGAGGCCCAGGAAGCUGGCUAGAGGGGCUCUUACGUCAAAAGGUGGGAGAAGCCAGAAACUCACACCGGAAGUAGAUAUGGGGCUAUUUUUGGCCCUAAGUCAUUUAGAAAGACUUCACACCCAGAAGCUAGCGGGUGUCUGUAGCUGUGUUGCAAAAGCAGUGUGGAAAGCACCUGUACAAGAGCUGGGGGCUUAGGAAGAGGAGGAAGUGGGGAGCAGAACAUGCCUGCCAGGGGCCCACAGGCUGGCCAGGAAGUCCCCCUCACUCCCUGUUUCCUCCAUGCCCUUGCCCCGGCCCAGCCAGCCUCCCCCAGAGCCCGCCAGCCGCUGAGCCGGGGCCACACCUGGGGGUGACUUCAUGCCUCACCUCCAGUAGGCUCCUGGCCUCUCUAGGCUGAUCUCUGGCUCCCGCGCACUAACUCUUGCUCUCGCCCAGCUACUCCCCGCCUCGCCCUGGCUGCCCAGGGCUGCCCACUAACAGCCAAUCUCGCCCACUGGGGGCUCUGGACUCCCUGCCUGGCUCGGGCCGGCUCUUAAUUAACUUCCCUUCCCCCUGACUAACUCCUGCCUUCCGGUCUGUUCCUUUCAGCGGAAACUAAUGGCUUGUGGACUUCUUUCUGACUAACAGCAGGUGUAACAGUCCUGGUUACCACGACUAUUAACAGCUUGGUGGGCAGCAUGGCUGGGAGGAUUUGGAACUGGACUAACAAGCAGUAGCAUUAAGUAGUGAUGUCGGACUCGGUGACUGCGCUGUCUGAGCAGUCAGAUGUCAGUGGAGACCCUAGGUCUUUAAAGGAGGUGCCAGGGCGUGGCCCAGUCCUGAUGGGGGGCUGGUACCCGCCCAGGUGGGGUCUGACCUAGGGUGUGUCUUACAAACAUUUGACCCGUGGAUGUAUCCUUUGCCUUCUUGGCGUUUGUGACAGCACUUUUACACAACAAUCUCAUUGUCCACAUGUACUUUAUAAACUUUAACAUGCCCGCCUGGUGUGUGCACAGAGUAUGACAUGUGUGGAAUUACCAGCAAUCAGGCGGGGGCCCAAAGGCCCUGCUUGGCUUUGUCAGAGUUUUGGUGGCCCUGGAACACAUAGUAAUAUUCAGGAUUAUAAAUCCAUCAGCCCUUUACAUCUUAGUGUGAUUUAACUGGGCUUCUUCUAACUCUUUUAAUGUAAGUCUUUUACUGCAGUCUGCCUGCAUUGGGGAGCAGUGAGUUUGGAUCUGUUUACUGCUUGAGGAAGUUUUGCUGGUGGCAGAGAGGAGGAGCCAUGCGGGGAUUGCAGGUGGUGGGGUGGGGUUCCUGCGGGGGAGAGAGGUGCACAGGUUGAGGUGGGAAUGGGAAGAGGGGCUCCUUUUGCCGGCUCAGCUUGGUAGUCAGUCUAUGGGGAGCACAGAUCAGUGUGUGGAGGACUGGUUUGCUGAGGGGCAGUUUCAGAGCCUGGCUAGGAAGCCUAGCGGACAGCAGUUUGGGUCAGGGUGUGCCGAGAGGUCCCUCUCCGCUAUGACCCCGGGCCCAGAGCUAACUGUGAGGAGCUGGCAGUGGGAUGUGGAGGGUGAUCCAGGGGCCUGAACUACAGAGGAAAGAGCAGAGGAGCAACCCGGAAAGAGCCGCGAGAAAGUGCAGAGUGGAAGGCCCUGAACUUGGGGAGCAACUGCCGCCCUCUAGUGGCCGCCCGGCCGUAUGUCACACAAACACUCAUUUGAUGGUGCACUCCGGAGCACUUCUGUAUCAAGUAGAAAGAUUUGUGGCUGCUGGGGACCCUGUGUGCCUACCACUGCUCAUGGCCUUGUACAAAUCAGUAGGCACCGUGCCAGGCAUGGGGGCCUAGUGGGGAUCCCAUACUGGCUGGUGGCCAGGGGCUUUAAAUGAGUGGGUAGGGCCAGUGACUCCAGGAUGUGGUGGGCAGGGUGGGCUUGCUGAAGAGACCGUAGGUAAGCUCAACUCCGGCUGGUGUCAGGUGGAUGGGGUGAGGUCCAGGCAGUGGGAAUGGCGGGUACAAAGCUCUGGGGGUGCACAGAGGAUUCACAGAGGUUCUGGGGAAGGUGGCAGGAAAGAGAUGGUACACUGGGCUCUCUGGAGUUGUGUGGCACCUUGGGGAGCUGUGUGGGUGUGACCUGAGAAGGGCAGAGUGGGGCUGAGCCUUCAAGCUGGUUUGGUGGUUUCAGCCCGGCUGGGACUCUGGAGCUUGUAAUGAGUUGUGGGCAUAUUUCAUACACCGUCUAUAUAGAAAGUCUGGAAACCAGCAGGACCCUGCAGGCAUCUGGAGAUGAACAGGUUCCACGUCACCCGGCCCAGGUAGAGGUAACUCUGCACCGAUUGGAAAGCUCAGAAGGCUAAGGUGACCAUGAGGACUUUGAAGAAGGGUUGUUUCGAAGAUGUGACAAGCCCUGGUGCAAAUAGGCCCUGGAGAAGGUCCAGGGAGUGAGGCCUCAGGCUGGCAGAGAGAAGGGGCAGUUGGCUUGUGUGGCUGCAGGAGGAGAUUCAAGUAUCCAAGAGGUUUACUGACUGCAGAGAAGAGAAAAAUGGGUUAACAGAACUUUCUGUCCCCAAAGGCAGGAGGCCUGGGCCUAGAACCAUGUUGAGAGUGACGAGGAUUGUGAGAGUCUGUGAGUGUGUGUAUGUGUGUGAGUGUGAGUGUGUGUGUGUGUGUGUGUGUGUGUGUGUGUGUGUGUGUGUGGAGUCCUUGACUGAAUGCUGGAGGAAGCUGAGCCCUGAGCCCUGGUAGGCGGGUUUGUCUUGAGCUCUCCCAUGCUGGUGCCUACUUGAGGUUCGUUCCCUCUGUCCUCGAGUACAGUGACAUCAGGCUUGCUGAACAGUGGCCUGUGCCCUGACAAGGUGUCCCAGGCUUUGCUUACACCUUGUAGAGGCAGGGGCCGCUGUGCUGUGGUGCUGGUGUCCUGGGAUGUGCUGCACAGAGAGGUGGGGCGAAUGCUGAGCAGGACCCCGGCUCCCUUCCCAACUGUGGCCCCCCUCAGACCUCCUCAAGAGUCAAGAAAAGCUGUCUGUGUCAUUGGCUUCCAGGGAUGGCGGAUGUGCACAGAAAUUCUGUUGAUUAAAAAGCUGAUUUUGGCCCAAAUCUAGCAAUGAAGUGUCCUUUGGCUUUUUGUUUUUAGCCCCUACUGUAGCUGCUUCUGUGUAAAGUACCAUUUUGAUAUUAAAAAUCAGUUAACACCCAAA